This 370-nucleotide ribosomal RNA is filed under the name uncultured organism. RNAcentral describes it as "partial 16S ribosomal RNA". It matches the Rfam family "Bacterial small subunit ribosomal RNA", at positions 527 to 896 of the family's 1533-position model. The record is from RNAcentral.
GGAGGGUGCAAACGUUGUCCGGAAUUACUGGGCGUAAAGGGCGCGUAGGCGGACUUGUAAGUCAGGAGUGAAAACUCAGGGCUCAACCCUGAGCCUGCUUCUGAAACUGCAAGUCUUGAGGACCGGAGAGGAAAGUGGAAUUCCUAGUGUAGCGGUGGAAUGCGUAGAUAUUAGGAAGAACACCAGUGGCGAAGGCGACUUUCUGGACGGUACCUGACGCUGAGGCGCGAAAGCUAGGGGAGCAAACAGGAUUAGAUACCCUGGUAGUCCUAGCUGUAAACGAUGAGUGCUAGGUGGUGGUAGUUUCAACGCUUUCACUGCCGAAGCUAACGCAUUAAGCACUCCGCCUGGGGAUACGGCCGCAAGGUUG